CAGCACCUCAAGUGGUCAGGAUGAUUAUUGGGCCUAAAGCAUCCGUAGCCGGAGCUGUAAGUUUUCGGUUAAAUCUGUACGCUCAACGUACAGGCUGACGGGAAUACUGCAGCGCUAGGGAGUGUGAGAGGUAGACGGUACUCGGUAGGAAUGGGUAAAAUCCUUUGAUCUAUUGAUGACCACCUGUGGCGAAGGCGGUCUACCAGAACACGUUCGACGGUGAGGGAUGAAAGCUGGGGGAGCAAACCGGAUUAGAUACCCGUGUAGUCC
This 270-nucleotide ribosomal RNA is filed under the name uncultured archaeon. Its description in RNAcentral is "partial 16S ribosomal RNA". It matches the Rfam family "Archaeal small subunit ribosomal RNA", at positions 477 to 747 of the family's 1478-position model. The record is from RNAcentral.